GACCCCUGACAAUGGGCAAAGAGACACUUUGUGGGGUUGCUCUUAUAUCAGACGGGGCAGAGCAGGUGGUAGUCCUUUGUUCAUCCUAACUUGAUGCCUGGCUUGGUGGCCUAAGCUGUUUUAUGCCUAGAACACCUAA
This is a small nucleolar RNA of Mus caroli (Ryukyu mouse), 139 nucleotides long. RefSeq annotates it as small nucleolar RNA SNORA48. The record is from RefSeq and is a predicted model, not a curated record. Lineage: Eukaryota; Metazoa; Chordata; Mammalia; Rodentia; Muridae.